This 563-nucleotide ribosomal RNA is filed under the name Trichoderma asperellum. RNAcentral's name for it is "eukaryotic LSU rRNA". The stretch from base 173 to 326 matches the Rfam family "5.8S ribosomal RNA". Lineage: Eukaryota; Fungi; Ascomycota; Sordariomycetes; Hypocreales; Hypocreaceae. The record is from RNAcentral.
GGUCCUCCAACCCAAUGUGACGUUACCAAACUGUUGCCUCGGCGGGGUCACGCCCCGGGUGCGUAAAAGCCCCGGAACCAGGCGCCCGCCGGAGGAACCAACCAAACUCUUUCUGUAGUCCCCUCGCGGACGUAUUUCUUACAGCUCUGAGCAAAAAUUCAAAAUGAAUCAAAACUUUCAACAACGGAUCUCUUGGUUCUGGCAUCGAUGAAGAACGCAGCGAAAUGCGAUAAGUAAUGUGAAUUGCAGAAUUCAGUGAAUCAUCGAAUCUUUGAACGCACAUUGCGCCCGCCAGUAUUCUGGCGGGCAUGCCUGUCCGAGCGUCAUUUCAACCCUCGAACCCCUCCGGGGGAUCGGCGUUGGGGAUCGGGACCCCUCACCGGGUGCCGGCCCUGAAAUACAGUGGCGGUCUCGCCGCAGCCUCUCCUGCGCAGUAGUUUGCACAACUCGCACCGGGAGCGCGGCGCGUCCACGUCCGUAAAACACCCAACUUCUGAAAUGUUGACCUCGGAUCAGGUAGGAAUACCCGCUGAACUUAAGCAUAUCAAAAACGGGAGGGAAUC